Molecule: long non-coding RNA, 944 nt
Organism: Hippocampus comes (tiger tail seahorse)
Lineage: Eukaryota; Metazoa; Chordata; Actinopteri; Syngnathiformes; Syngnathidae
Exons: 3
Source: RefSeq, a predicted model, not a curated record
GUCUAUAGAACGACAACAAUUCCGAAGGAAAGGCAGGCGGGUGGUGGGUGGGGUGAAGGGGGUCUGCCAGGUCCUCACAAAUGGGACCAGCUUCCCAAAAGCAGGCAGGACCCCCUCGGUAGUGCUAAUGAAAAGUGUAACUUUAGCCUCCCAGCUGUACGUCUCAAUCCAUAAUCCUUCCCCAAAAUCCUGGCCGUAGAGACGCCUCCCGGUCCCAUGGCGCUCCCCAUCCUGAGCCGGGCUGGGGCCUGAUUUAGUUCUGUGUCCACCUCGCAACCUGAGCAUCGUCUCGGACUCCUUUCCCCUAUUUGGGAGAGCAAUUUGCAGCCCGGUCCCGUGGACCCCUAACUCCCCCUCAAAAGCCACCACAAUGCCACUGCUGUGGUGACCCUGUGUGACAAGAACACGGACAUUUUGACUGGAACUUGGGUUUUCUCUGUGGAUGGAUGUGUCCCUGCAGUGUGGAGGUCAGAGUCCAGACAGACACAGUCAGACGCAUGGCCACAGUUUGGUACGCAGAUUCACAGAGGCAGGAUGAGCAAACAAGAUUGGUCUGAGCUGACCUUUAACUUUGGCGACGGCUGACGGCGGCCUGGCGCCCGAUCAAUGAACCGAGGAAGCGGCCUGCGCGUCCCCUGCUCUGUUCACCCGGGCCAAGAAGGUGCGGACGCUGCCAGAAGCAUCGACACCAAGCGGAGCCGUCCAAAUUGACUCUCGGCCGUUCCGCAGGGUGACGGUUUGGACGCUGCGCUGCCCUCCCAUGUAGGAAAGGACGGCCAGAAGAGAGGAUCUUUCUCUGCGGCUAAAUAAACUACUUGUGAAUGUCACACUCGAUCUGAACAAGCCGGCUAAAAGAUGACCUGCACUUUAAGUAUGGCUGAACCAUUUGGAAAAAUAAUCUAAUUGUGAUUUUUUUUUCUCUCUCUCAAUGAUUCGAUUGUGAU